UUUCCGUAGGUGAACCUGCGGAAGGAUCAUUAAAGUUAUAGUCCCCUGGCCCUUUCGGGUUGGGGUCUUCUAUACCACCCUUUGUUUAUUACACCUUUGUUGCUUUGGCAGGCCUGCCUUCGGGCUGCUGGCUCCGGCCGGCGAGCGCCUGCCAGAGUACCUAAACUCUGUUUGUCUAUACUGUCUGAGUACUAUAUAAUAGUUAAAACUUUCAACAACGGAUCUCUUGGUUUUG
RNAcentral lists this unclassified non-coding RNA (235 nucleotides) under plant metagenome. RNAcentral describes it as "partial contains small subunit ribosomal RNA, internal transcribed spacer 1, and 5.8S ribosomal RNA". The record is from RNAcentral.